RNAcentral lists this ribosomal RNA (325 nucleotides) under uncultured bacterium. RNAcentral's name for it is "bacterial SSU rRNA". It matches the Rfam family "Bacterial small subunit ribosomal RNA", at positions 28 to 334 of the family's 1533-position model. The record is from RNAcentral.
GAUGAACGCUGGCGGCGUGCUUAACACAUGCAAGUCGAACGGAACUACUUUGAUGAGAUUCUUCGGAAAGGAUUUGAUUUAGUUUAGUGGCGGACGGGUGAGUAACGCGUGGGUAACCUGCCUCAUACAGGGGGAUAACAGUUGGAAACGACUGUUAAUACCGCAUAAGCGCACAGUAUCGCAUGAUACGGUGUGAAAAACUCCGGUGGUAUGAGAUGGACCCGCGUCUGAUUAGCUAGUUGGUGAGGUAACGGCCCACCAAGGCGACGAUCAGUAGCCGGCCUGAGAGGGUGAACGGCCACAUUGGGACUGAGACACGGCCCAA